This 1300-nucleotide long non-coding RNA is filed under the name Anser cygnoides (Swan goose). RNAcentral's name for it is "lncRNA (ENSACDG00005003634.1)". The record is from RNAcentral. Lineage: Eukaryota; Metazoa; Chordata; Aves; Anseriformes; Anatidae.
GUCGAAGGAGAGCAUUUAUUUUCUGGCAAAUAAUAGUGCUGGAAUAGCUCUAAUGCCAAAAUGGUUUGCUGGUAAGACUGUUUUAGUUAAAAUCCAUAGGAAUCUAAUUUGGGAACAGAAACCAUUAGAAUAGUUCAGUUGGAAGGGACCUAUGAAGUUCGUCGACACCAACUGCCCAACGACUUCAGGGCUAACCAAAAGUUAAAGCGUGUUACUGAGGGCAUUAUCCAAAUGCCUCUUGAACGCUGACAGCCAUGGGGCACCAACCACCUCCCUAGGGAGCCUGUUCCAGUGUUUGACUACCCUCACCGUAGCGAAAUGUUUCCUAAUGUCCAGCAAACUUGAGCAAAUGCCUGAGCAAACCUGGAGCAGCUUUGUGCCGUUCCCAUGUGUCCCUGUCACCGGUGACCAGGGAGCAGAGGCCAGUGCCUCCCUCUCCACUUCCCCUCCCCAGGAAGCUGCAGAGAGCACUGAUGUCACCUCUUAGCCUCCUUUUCCCCAGACUGGACAUCCCAAUGUCCUCAGCCUCUCCUCACAGGACACGACUUCCAGCCUUGUUGCCUUUUUUCCCAAGCCCCCCAUCAGAAAUUUCCACAAAGAUAAAAUUUUGUCUGCUGGAGUCGUUUGAUCAGCCAGCUAUGUAGAUAGCAGAGGCACGAGGCCAGUCUCUUGCUGUACACCCUUGUGUUAGCUCUACCUGUUGCUGCAUUUCUUGCCUACGCCUUGGUGUGAAAUCACUGCUUUGCUCAGCGAGAUUAAAAAAUUCUCUGUGAUCUUGCCACUGUUCCUUGCAUUAUAAUUCACACAGAAGUGGUGACAGCGUGCGCAUAGGUCAGCAGACUGAUGCCUGUAGCUUCCUCUCCUGCUACUUAUCUUUCACAAUUAUACCACAGUAGCACAGAGAGCUUUCAAGCAAAAGCAGAAAGGUGCAACCAUUCUGCAAAAAAAAAAAAAAAAACAUAAAAUUGUAAAAUGUAGAACCUUCCACCAAGGGUCAGCAGUCUGCGUGAACAGGAUAUGGGGCAAAGAAGGUGUGAUUGUUUCACAUAUAGAAAAUAUCUUGCACAGAAAGCAAGUGACAUAUAGGUCUGGCAGUGCUGGGGAAUUAUUUCUGAAGCUCAGGGGAAGGAAGUGUUAUCCACAGCACUCGGGGAGGACAGCACUUGAUUUCUUCAUCACAGAUGCCAAGGAAAAAUUUCCGACGCUGUAGUCCUACUACUGUAGUUAUCAGCUUGUGCCAUUGGCAAGGAGCAAAGGGUGCGUAAUGCAACCAACCAAGACUUCAGUCUGCUCCUAGGAG